GAAUAUUAAAGUACAUUGCGUAUCAGUAUAUAUGUGAUUUUGGAAGUUUAACUUGAUACUGAGUACUGUGGAUAAUAUUUUUAGUUUGAAGUUGAUUAUUUUGAUAGCAAGACAUGGUUCAUUUAUAAGUUGUUUAAGGCUUGGACAAGGAAAGAUAUUUUUUAUUCUUCGAAGAUGAAAUCUGUAUGACAAUUAUGCAUGAAACUGUUAUAUAAGAAGAAAAUAUAUUUGAGGAUGACAUUUAAGAGUUUCUCCUUUGUUUACUGGGAAUGUGAAAUAUUAGAUCUUUUCAAAUUAUAAUGCAAGAUUAGUAUUUUGAUUGGAAGUCAUUUAGUAAAUUCUGAGAAUAAUUUUCAAUCUUGAAGAAUAUUUUAGGCUCAAAUGUUCUACUA
RNAcentral lists this long non-coding RNA (392 nucleotides) under Phoenix dactylifera (date palm). RNAcentral describes it as "long non-coding RNA (PDAC_LNC008559)". Lineage: Eukaryota; Viridiplantae; Streptophyta; Magnoliopsida; Arecales; Arecaceae. The record is from RNAcentral.